This 855-nucleotide ribosomal RNA is filed under the name uncultured bacterium. RNAcentral describes it as "bacterial SSU rRNA". It matches the Rfam family "Bacterial small subunit ribosomal RNA", at positions 60 to 874 of the family's 1533-position model. The record is from RNAcentral.
AGUCGAGCGAGUCUGCCUUGAAGAUCGGAGUGCUUGCACUCUGUGAAACAAGAUACAGGCUAGCGGCGGACGGGUGAGUAACACGUGGGUAACCUGCCCAAGAGAUCGGGAUAACACCUGGAAACAGAUGCUAAUACCGGAUAACAACAGAUGAUGCCUAUCAACUGUUUAAAAGAUGGUUCUGCUAUCACUCUUGGAUGGACCUGCGGUGCAUUAGCUAGUUGGUAGGGUAACGGCCUACCAAGGCGAUGAUGCAUAGCCGAGUUGAGAGACUGAUCGGCCACAUUGGGACUGAGACACGGCCCAAACUCCUACGGGAGGCAGCAGUAGGGAAUCUUCCACAAUGGACGCAAGUCUGAUGGAGCAACGCCGCGUGAGUGAAGAAGGGCUUCGGCUCGUAAAGCUCUGUUGUUGGUGAAGAAGGACAGGGGUAGUAACUGACCUUUGUUUGACGGUAAUCAAUUAGAAAGUCACGGCUGACUACGUGCCAGCAGCCGCGGUAAUACGUAGGUGGCAAGCGUUGUCCGGAUUUAUUGGGCGUAAAGCGAGUGCAGGCGGCUCGAUAAGUCUGAUGUGAAAGCCUUCGGCUCAACCGGAGAAUUGCAUCAGAAACUGUCGAGCUUGAGUACAGAAGAGGAGAGUGGAACUCCAUGUGUAGCGGUGAAAUGCGUAGAUAUAUGGAAGAACACCGGUGGCGAAGGCGGCUCUCUGGUCUGUUACUGACGCUGAGGCCCGAAAGCAUGGGUAGCGAACAGGAUUAGAUACCCUGGUAGUCCAUGCCGUAAACGAUGAGUGCUAAGUGUUGGGAGGUUUCCGCCUCUCAGUGCUGCAGCUAACGCAUUAAGCACUCCGCCU